This 532-nucleotide ribosomal RNA is filed under the name Colletotrichum nymphaeae. Its description in RNAcentral is "partial large subunit ribosomal RNA". It matches the Rfam family "Eukaryotic large subunit ribosomal RNA", at positions 91 to 648 of the family's 3401-position model. Lineage: Eukaryota; Fungi; Ascomycota; Sordariomycetes; Glomerellales; Glomerellaceae. The record is from RNAcentral.
GAGCGCGUGCCUCCGGCUGAAAUUUGAAAUCUGGCCCCAGGCCCGAGUUGUAAUUUGCAGAGGAUGCUUUUGGCGCGGUGCCUUCCGAGUUCCCUGGAACGGGACGCCAUAGAGGGUGAGAGCCCCGUACGGUUGGACACCAAGCCUUUGUAAAGCUCCUUCGACGAGUCGAGUAGUUUGGGAAUGCUGCUCUAAAUGGGAGGUACAUUUCUUCUAAAGCUAAAUAUUGGCCAGAGACCGAUAGCGCACAAGUAGAGUGAUCGAAAGAUGAAAAGCACUUUGAAAAGAGGGUUAAACAGCACGUGAAAUUGUUAAAAGGGAAGCGCUUGUGACCAGACUUGCGUCCGGUGAAUCACCCAGCUCUCGCGGCUGGGGCACUUCGCCGGCACAGGCCAGCAUCAGCUUGCCGUCGGGGACAAAAGCUUCAGGAACGUGGCUCCUCUCGGGGAGUGUUAUAGCCUGUUGCAUAAUACCCUUCGGCGGGCUGAGGUACGCGCUCCGCAAGGAUGCUGGCGUAAUGGUCAUCAGCGAC